This 107-nucleotide small nuclear RNA is filed under the name Meriones unguiculatus (Mongolian gerbil). The record is from RNAcentral. Lineage: Eukaryota; Metazoa; Chordata; Mammalia; Rodentia; Muridae.
CUGCUUACUUCAGCAGCACAUACCCUAAAAUUUGAAUGAUACAGAGAAGAUUAGCAUGACCCCUAUACAAGGAUGACAUGCAAAUUCAUGAAGCGACAAAUAAAUAU